RNAcentral lists this ribosomal RNA (672 nucleotides) under Laetiporus sulphureus. RNAcentral describes it as "LSU rRNA". It matches the Rfam family "Eukaryotic large subunit ribosomal RNA", at positions 40 to 686 of the family's 3401-position model. Lineage: Eukaryota; Fungi; Basidiomycota; Agaricomycetes; Polyporales; Laetiporaceae. The record is from RNAcentral.
AUAUCAAUAAGCGGAGGAAAAGAAACUAACGAGGAUUCCCCUAGUAACUGCGAGUGAAGCGGGAAAAGCUCAAAUUUAAAAUCUGGCGGUCUUUGGCCGUCCGAGUUGUAGUCUGGAGAAGCGUCUUCUACGCCGGACCGUGUACAAGUCCCUUGGAACAGGGCGUCAUAGAGGGUGAGAAUCCCGUCCAUGACACGGACCGCCGGCGGUUUGUGAUGCGCUCUCAAAGAGUCGAGUUGUUUGGGAAUGCAGCUCAAAAUGGGUGGUAAAUUCCAUCUAAAGCUAAAUACUGGCGAGAGACCGAUAGCGAACAAGUACCGUGAGGGAAAGAUGAAAAGCACUUUGGAAAGAGAGUUAAACAGUACGUGAAAUUGCUGAAAGGGAAACGCUUGAAGUCAGUCGCGUCGGCCGGGGCUCAGCCUUGCAUUCGUUUGCUCGGUUUACUUCCCGGUCGACGGGCCAGCGUCGAUUUUGACCGUCGGAGAAGGGUCAGGGGAAAGUGGCACCUUCGGGUGUGUUAUAGCCUUUGGUCGCAUACGGCGGUUGGGAUCGAGGAACGCAGCACGCCUUUAUGGCCGGGGCCUUUGUGCCCAAGUACCGUGCUUAGGAUGCUGGCGUAAUGGCUUUAAACGACCCGUCUUGAAACACGGACCAAGGAGUCUAACGUGCCUG